UACGUAGGGAGCAAGCGUUGUCCGGAAUCAUUGGGCGUAAAGCGUGCGCAGGCGGUCUGUUAAGACAGGUGUGAAAUCCCCGAGCUCAACUUGGGAAUUGCGCUUGUUACUGGCAGGCUAGAGUGUGGCAGAGGGGGGUGGAAUUCCACGUGUAGCAGUGAAAUGCGUAGAUAUGUGGAGGAACACCGAUGGCGAAGGCAGCCCCCUGGGUUAACACUGACGCUCAGGCACGAAAGCGUGGGGAGCAAACAGG
RNAcentral lists this ribosomal RNA (253 nucleotides) under uncultured bacterium. RNAcentral describes it as "partial 16S ribosomal RNA". It matches the Rfam family "Bacterial small subunit ribosomal RNA", at positions 524 to 776 of the family's 1533-position model. The record is from RNAcentral.